Molecule: non-coding RNA, 95 nt
Organism: Diatrype stigma
Lineage: Eukaryota; Fungi; Ascomycota; Sordariomycetes; Xylariales; Diatrypaceae
Source: the annotation of a GenBank genome assembly
GCCAGGUUGGUGCAGUGGUAGCACGUCUUUGCCGCAACCAGAACAAACCUCAUACGAAAAGUGUGAGGCCUUGGGUUCGAUUCCACCCUGUGGCU